CUUGCCUAUCAUGCUGUGGAAACGCAGGACUGUCUCCUUAAGACAAAAUAGCUGUACCACGUAGGUGACACCAAUUACCCCCAAUGCAGGCCCCGACGAGCAGGAGGAAAUUGCAAAGAGCUACAGCAAUAAGGAGGGGGAGCUGGGGUAGUGUGAGGUAUCUGACUUAAGGGAGAAGGGGUGAAGGAAAUAACUUUUGAACUCCAAAUACAAGUGAAAGCAGAGCAUUAGCUGCACAGGCAGUAAAGCUUGGUAGAGUAAAAUGCUGCCUGUGAUUGUAAGCCAGACCUGGAGGACAAAGGUGAAGCCUACAAUCAAGGUUUCUUAAUAAGACAGAUGUUCCUCAAAGGGAGAAGAAAAAUUCUUCACAGCUGCAGCAGCUGUUUCAAUCCCUCUUUGACAGAUCUUUAAUAUGACACUCUUGUCUCCCUGGAAGAGCCAGAUCCCACUAGCAUGGAGUAUUCAUCCUGUACCAGUUCCAGCUUGCCUCUCACAUUUAAAAAGAGCAAAUGCAGUACUUCGUAUAUGGCUUUUCCGUUAUGGACUGACAGAGUGGCUGAAUGGAUAGAUGGAUAGGUGCAUUAACGAGCUUUGCACGAGACCUGUAAUUUCAUGUGGCAAGGGGGUCACUAGGCUUCCAAGAUGCAAUAUGCGUGUUGUUGGUUUUUUUUCUUAUUUAUUUCUGUGGUAGUGGCUCUGAUUUGUUUUAUCCUGUCCCACUCCACCUUCCUGAGAAACAAGAUCUGUAUAUAGCUUUGUUCUUGCAAAUAGCUGUAGAUUGUGCAUGUAUGGAUUUAGUCCUAACAUGGGUAUCUACAGGGUUCUGAAUUCUGCACAACUCUUCUGAACGCUAUCUUAUCUUCCAAUUUCUAAGAAGUGGUAGUGGCUGAGCACCAGGAAUGCAUAUAACACUGUCUUGCAAAUUUCCUUGCCUCUUAACUUUAUUCUGAUACCAGUCUAAACAAAAUUGUUGUGAAACUCCAGUUGCUGAUUUCUGCAUUGGUAACAGCAGCAUAUUUUUAAGCUGUUUUAGGUAAUGGAACUAGAUGAAGGCUGAACUUUUAGGUAAAGGAUUUUAUCUCUUUGUAGCAAAACAGUAACCAGGCAUUUAGGUAUUAUCUCCCCAUGGACAAUGCAGAAAUGAACAAUUCUGCCUGUGCCACAAACUGGAAGUUCUUUGCUUUAAGUCUGUUACUUCGGGACAGUGAUUGUGGAAAUCUUUGUUUCAUGUUACUUUGGUCUUGUAUGCGAUCAUAAAUGUGAUCAGACAAUGGUUGUGUAGAAUUAGAAGAGUAAUUAAUUAGCAUGAAUUAUUAAGGGUUAAUGAUGCGUGUUAGAGCUGCAAUAUUCUUAUUUA
Long non-coding RNA from Oxyura jamaicensis (ruddy duck), 1357 nucleotides. RefSeq lists it as uncharacterized. The record is from RefSeq and is a predicted model, not a curated record. The transcript has 3 exons. Lineage: Eukaryota; Metazoa; Chordata; Aves; Anseriformes; Anatidae.